This 538-nucleotide unclassified non-coding RNA is filed under the name Hevea brasiliensis (rubber tree). The record is from RNAcentral. Lineage: Eukaryota; Viridiplantae; Streptophyta; Magnoliopsida; Malpighiales; Euphorbiaceae.
AGGAAGCUGAAAUUAAUCUUAUUAUAACUGAUUACUGUAUGCCUGGGAUGACUGGCUAUGAUUUGCUUAAGAAAAUUAAGGAAUCUGCAUCUCUGAGGAACAUACCAGUAGUGAUUAUGUCAUCUGAAAAUGUUCCUUCAAGAAUCAGUAGAUGCUUAGAAGAAGGGGCAGAGGAAUUUUUCUUGAAGCCAGUAAGAUUAUCAGAUGUUAAUAAACUUAAACCUCAUAUGAUGAAAACCAAAUGUAAAAGCCCCCAACAACAACAAAAACAAGAAGCUGAGAUAAUUGUGACACAAGACAAUCAAGAAUCAAUAGACACAACAUAUGUUGUUCCAUCACAACAAAAUCAAGAAUCAGACAACAUAGUACAACAACAACAACAGAAAUCACAAGACAAUAGUAACAACAACAAGAGAAAGGCCAUAGAAGAAAAUCUAUCAUCAGACAGAACAAGACAAAGAUUGAGUAGCCUUACUGCUAUCUAAUCUAAUGAAUGAUGCAUAUACUAUAGUUUUUCACUUUUUUUUUCCUUCACAAA